AAUCCCAUUUUAGUACCGUCCCGUCACUUUCCUUUGCACGGACGGCUAUGCUAAUGGGAUAGAAAGAACCCUGUCAUGAUCUGAAGGUGUGGCUGCUGCACUGUGCGCCCCGCUUAAUAAAAUGACAGGACAUUGCCAU
Molecule: small nucleolar RNA, 139 nt
Organism: Myripristis murdjan (pinecone soldierfish)
Lineage: Eukaryota; Metazoa; Chordata; Actinopteri; Holocentriformes; Holocentridae
Product: small nucleolar RNA SNORA29
Source: Ensembl